AGCGAACGCUGGCGGCAGGCCUAACACAUGCAAGUCGAGCGCCCCGCAAGGGGAGCGGCAGACGGGAGAGUAACACGUGGGAACGUACCCUUUGGUUCGGAACAACCCAGGGAAACUUGGGCUAAUACCGGAUAAGCCCUUACGGGGAAAGAUUCAUCGCCGAAGGAUCGGCCCGCGUCUGAUUAGCUAGUUGGUGGGGUAACGGCCCACCAAGGCGACGAUAAGUAGCUGGUCUGAGAGGAUGAUCAGCCUCACUGGGACUGAGACACGGCCCAGACUCCUACGGGAGGCAGCAGUGGGGAAUAUUGGACAAUGGGCGCAAGCCUGAUCCAGCCAUGCCGCGUGGGUGAUGAAGGCCCUAGGGUUGUAAAGCCCUUUCGGCGGGGAAGAUAAUGACGGUACCCGCAGAAGAAGCCCCGGCUAACUUCGUGCCAGCAGCAGCCGCCG
RNAcentral lists this ribosomal RNA (447 nucleotides) under uncultured bacterium. RNAcentral's name for it is "partial 16S ribosomal RNA". It matches the Rfam family "Bacterial small subunit ribosomal RNA", at positions 29 to 523 of the family's 1533-position model. The record is from RNAcentral.